This 1915-nucleotide long non-coding RNA is filed under the name Malus domestica (apple). RNAcentral describes it as "long non-coding RNA (MDOM_LNC001171)". Lineage: Eukaryota; Viridiplantae; Streptophyta; Magnoliopsida; Rosales; Rosaceae. The record is from RNAcentral.
UUUUGAAUUCUUCAAAUUCAUUCCUCACCUCCUCCCAAUCCCACCAUCACCUUCAGCAUUACUCAUCGCCAAUUUUCUCUAUCUUUGGAAAGGUAAUAAAAAUUAUUAAUUAAAAACGAAAUGGUUAUAAAAAGGUCUUUGAUUCAAUGAAAUUUAAAAACGAUGAAGCAUUAUAAUUUGACACUUUAGUGAUCAUUGAGUAGAUGUGGGGCAGACUAUUGUCAAUAAUUUAAUAAAAGGUUGAAAUUAAUUAAAAUUUUCAAGGGGUUAACACUUGAUUAGAAGCUUGCCACGAUUCUAAUAUGUGGUUUACACAUUUUAAAGCACCACCAAAAGAAAUAAAAUCCCAUUAGGUCUGUAAAGGAGUUGGCAAUAAAGGUCAAGUGAUUAAAGGCAACUAGCAUCGGUGGUGGGUAAUUUGAUAACACUGUGCAUGCAUGUAUAAGCAGCAGCCAACUAGUUUAAUAGUUUGAAGCAAAAACACAAGUCCAUGGAAAACUUGAUUGGGUUCAACUACAAGUAGAAAGUGAGUGCCAUGUAUUUCGUCGGCAACAUGCUUCAGUUCCUUUCAUUAUCCACUAAAAGAAUUGGUUUCUUUUUGCCCCAUAUAGACAUCAAACAUCUCCUGGUGGGACCUUUUAGGAUUCGAGGUUUAAGAAAAUAAUUGAUACAGUUUUCACAAAUCCCAAUUGAUUAUAACGAAGAUUUCAUUUCAUAGUAGUGGAGAAGUUUGGCCUUCACAGGCGAAAGGACAUCAUUUGCAGAAAAAAAAAAUGUCAAACUUGAAAUGGUCUGAGGUCUCCGUCACAAGUAUGCAUCGUGAUUUUUGUCAUGGUUCAUCACAGAAAAACACCAAAAUUUAAAGUUGGGUAUAAAUGUGUGUAUAUUCGUAUUUUCUUGAAAUAAGGAAAAAGAAAAUGGUGAAUUGAACUGCAUAUGUCAUACUUGCAACAAGAAGGAGAAGCUCCAACGUAUAAUACAAAAGAAGGGACAAAAGGAUAUGUGGCAAUAGAAAUCUAUCGCUUUUAGUUUCUAUUCAUCUUUAUUCUCCUUUUUUUCACCUUUGUAAAAUGUGACAAAAGAAAGUAUAACCAUAAACAUGUUGUUGAGAAUGCCUCAUAUUGAUGAAGAAGAGAUCUUGCAUAGAUUUAUAAGUAAGUAUGAUUACUUCUCACGCUACCAAUUGAUUUUAUAGUGAAACCUCAACUUUCUUCAUGGUAUCAGAGCAUGUUGUCCCACGUGUGAAGCCCAACGGCCACACGUACCCAACGUCAUCUCUUUGUGUUGUUCACAUGUUUGACUUGAAAAUCAGCUACAACAUGAUGAGACUUGUUAAGAAUGUCUCACAUUAAUGGAGGUGGAACAUUGCAUGAACUUAUAAGUAAAUUGGGCUAUUCCAAUAUUGCUUACUAAUUUUAUGGUAGAACCUCAACUUUCUUUACAUGUGGGUAUUGUCUAAUUGAUACUACUCUCUCUCUCUCUCUCUCUAACACACACACACACACACACAUACAUAUAUACAUAUAUAUAUAUAUAUAUAUAUACACACAUAUAUAUAUAAUGCUAGGUAGAUUAAAUUUGUAAACUAAAUGAUGUGUUACCAAUAAGAAACAAACACGUUAAUCAAUGCUUGAGUAAUACUUUAAUCAUCAACUUCUAUAUCAUUUAAUUUACAAAAUUUAGUUUACACAUAUAGUCUCCCUAACAUUACCCAUAUAUAUAUAUAAAAGCAAAUCCAGUGUGAUCAGAUUGUAAUCUGCAUAAUUUAAUAUAAGCAAAUGGAUACUCCAAGAAAGAAUGAGCCAGUAAUUGACCGAUGUUAUGGGAAUUUAAUAUAAAAAUUCUUCUUUUCAGCUUGAAACAAGAAGCACGUAACGUAUGCCCACAGACAGGACUCUACGGGUGGCUUUACUUU